This 467-nucleotide ribosomal RNA is filed under the name uncultured bacterium. RNAcentral describes it as "partial 16S ribosomal RNA". It matches the Rfam family "Bacterial small subunit ribosomal RNA", at positions 28 to 507 of the family's 1533-position model. The record is from RNAcentral.
GAUGAACGCUGGCGGCGCGCCUAACACAUGCAAGUCGAACGAUUAAAGCACCUUCGGGUGUGUAUAAAGUGGCGAACGGCUGAGUAACACGUGGGCAACCUGCCCCUCUCAUUGGGAUAGCCACGGGAAACCGUGGAUAAUACCGAAUACUUCGGGACUUCCGCAUGGAAGACUCGAGAAAGCUCCGGCGGAGAGGGAUGGGCCCGCGGCCUGUUAGCUUGUUGGUGGGGUAAUGGCCUACCAAGGCAAUGAUGGGUAGCUGGGUUGAGAGACCGACCAGCCAGAUUAGGACUGAGACACGGCCCAGACUCCUACGGGAGGCAGCAGUGGGGAAUCUUGCACAAUGGGCGAAAGCCUGAUGCAGCGACGCCGCGUGCGGGAUGAAGGCCUUCGGGUUGUAAACCGCUUUCAGCAGGGACGAGGCGAAAGUGACGGUACCUGCAGAAGAAGCCCCGGCUAACUACGUG